Molecule: ribosomal RNA, 592 nt
Filed under: Trichoderma longibrachiatum
Lineage: Eukaryota; Fungi; Ascomycota; Sordariomycetes; Hypocreales; Hypocreaceae
Description: eukaryotic LSU rRNA
Rfam family: 5.8S ribosomal RNA (bases 216-369)
Source: RNAcentral
ACACUCCCAAACCCCAAUGUGAACGUUACCAAUCUGUUGCCUCGGCGGGAUUCUCUUGCCCCGGGCGCGUCGCAGCCCCGGAUCCCAUGGCGCCCGCCGGAGGACCAACUCCAAACUCUUUUUUUCUCUCCGUCGCGGCUCCCGUCGCGGCUCUGUUUUAUUUUUGCUCUGAGCCUUUCUCGGCGACCCUAGCGGGCGUCUCGAAAAUGAAUCAAAACUUUCAACAACGGAUCUCUUGGUUCUGGCAUCGAUGAAGAACGCAGCGAAAUGCGAUAAGUAAUGUGAAUUGCAGAAUUCAGUGAAUCAUCGAAUCUUUGAACGCACAUUGCGCCCGCCAGUAUUCUGGCGGGCAUGCCUGUCCGAGCGUCAUUUCAACCCUCGAACCCCUCCGGGGGGUCGGCGUGUGGGGAUCGGCCCCUCACCGGGCCGCCCCCGAAAUACAGUGGCGGUCUCGCCGCAGCCUCUCCUGCGCAGUAGUUUGCACACUCGCACCGGGAGCGCGGCGCGGCCACAGCCGUAAAACACCCCAAACUUCUGAAAUGUUGACCUCGGAUCAGGUAGGAAUACCCGCUGAACUUAAGCAUAUCAAUAA